RNAcentral lists this ribosomal RNA (253 nucleotides) under uncultured Eubacteriales bacterium. RNAcentral's name for it is "uncultured Clostridiales bacterium partial 16S ribosomal RNA". It matches the Rfam family "Bacterial small subunit ribosomal RNA", at positions 524 to 776 of the family's 1533-position model. Lineage: Bacteria; Bacillati; Bacillota; Clostridia; Eubacteriales. The record is from RNAcentral.
UACGGAGGAUGCGAGCGUUAUCCGGAUUUAUUGGGUUUAAAGGGAGUGUAGGCGGCCUUUUAAGUUAUAUGUGAAAGCCCCCGGCUUAACCGAGGAACUGCAUAUAAAACUGGAGGGCUGGAGUGCAGGAGAGGUAAGCGGAAUUUCUAGUGUAGCGGUGGAAUGCGUAGAUAUUAGGAAGAACACCGGAGGCGAAGGCGGCUUACUGGACUGUAACUGACGCUGAGGCUCGAAAGCGUGGGGAGCAAACAGG